UACAGAGGUCCCAAGCGUUGUUCGGAUUCACUGGGCGUAAAGGGUGCGUAGGUGGUUAGGUAAGUCCGAUGUGAAAUCUCCAGGCUCAACCUGGAAAUGGCAUUGGAUACUAUCUAGCUUGAGGAGUGGAGGGGGGACUGGAAUUCUCGGUGUAGCAGUGAAAUGCGUAGAGAUCGUAAGGAAGACCAGUGGCGAAGGCGGGUCUCUGGACAGUUCCUGACGCUGAGGCACGAAGGCCAGGGGAGCAAACGGG
RNAcentral lists this ribosomal RNA (253 nucleotides) under uncultured bacterium. Its description in RNAcentral is "partial 16S ribosomal RNA". It matches the Rfam family "Bacterial small subunit ribosomal RNA", at positions 524 to 776 of the family's 1533-position model. The record is from RNAcentral.